RNAcentral lists this long non-coding RNA (909 nucleotides) under Durio zibethinus. RNAcentral describes it as "long non-coding RNA (DZIB_LNC000862)". The record is from RNAcentral. Lineage: Eukaryota; Viridiplantae; Streptophyta; Magnoliopsida; Malvales; Malvaceae.
UUCAUUGUCUUGUGCUCAAUAAUUUCUUUCUUUUAACUCCUUAUAAAAACACUUCUCAACCCACUUCCAGUCUACAUCCAGCAAAGUCUAUAAUCCCACGGACAAGUUCCAGGUUCCAGGAAAGGUUGUUCUAUCUUGUUUUUCCAUUGGUCUCUCUGGUGAGAAGAUUUGUCGAAGGAAAGGUUUUCUGAUUCUGUAAUGGCAAAGGAAAUUAGCUAUUUGAGUUUUUGGAUUGAAAUUGCACCACCCCUUUUCAAAUCACCUGUCAGAACUUCAAAUUCUCCUGUGUUCGAGACAAUCACAGAGGAAGAGAUUGAGGAAUCGGACGACGACUAGGAAAUUGAUUUUGGAUUGCAAUUUCCAUUUCUCUUGUAAACCUUCAAUGUCAUUAAUUGUAAUUUUGUGGUGCUAACAGAUUGACAGAAUGUUCCUUUUGAAAAUUCCAAUUUUGUUACAGUAAAUUUUCUGAGUUUGGCUUCUUUCAUCACUAGUUACGUAGCAGGCUUAAAUGUUGCAACGAUUUGUUGCAGAGCCAAGCUCAAAACCCAAAAACAUCAGAUAAUGUCAUUAGUCUGACAAAUGUCCUGGUACAGGUUGGCUGGCUAAUUGAAAAUGAGACAAUUCUGUCAGAUUCCAGGCAGAUAAUCAGCAUUAAUAUUCCCUUUUUUGUGUUUUUCUGCUCAAUCUUGGUGAGGUUUUUCAACUCUGGAGUCCUCCUAUAUUACCCCAUCCAAAAUAAUAAUUAAGGUAAAUUAUUAUUAAAAUUUAUUAAGUUAAUUAAAAGAUUAAUUAUUAAAAAAAAUGAUUUAAGUAUUUUAUAAAAAAAAAAUUUAGUUAUCAUGAAACAAAAAAGAAUAUGAGAGGUUUUUUUUUCUCAUUUUUUUUAGGAUUAAAAAAUAUAAAAAUAAA